ACGAACGCUGGCGGCGUGCUUAACACAUGCAAGUCGAGCGGUAAGGCCCUUUCGGGGGUACGACGAGCGGCGAACGGGUGAGUAACACGUGGGUGACCUGCCCUUAGCUCUGGGAUAAGCCUGGGAAACUGGGUCUAAUACCGGAUAUGACUCCAUGACGCAUGUUGUGGGGUGGAAAGCCUUGUGCGGCUAGGGAUGGGCCCGCGGCCUAUCAGCUUGUUGGUGGGGUGAUGGCCUACCAAGGCGACGACGGGUAGCCGGCCUGAGAGGGCGACCGGCCACACUGGGACUGAGACACGGCCCAGACUCCUACGGGAGGCAGCAGUGGGGAAUCUUGCGCAAUGGCGAAAGCCUGACGCAGCGACGCCGCGUGAGGGAUGACGGCCUCGG
Molecule: ribosomal RNA, 390 nt
Filed under: uncultured bacterium
Lineage: Bacteria
Description: bacterial SSU rRNA
Rfam family: Bacterial small subunit ribosomal RNA
Source: RNAcentral